AGUGAACGCUGGCUGUAGGCCUAACACAUGCAAGCCGAACGGCAGCACAGUAAGAGCUUGCUCUUACGGGUGGCGAGUGGCGGACGGGUGAGGAAUACAUCGGAAUCUACUUUUUCGUGGGGGAUAACGUAGGGAAACUUACGCUAAUACCGCAUACGACCUACGGGUGAAAGCAGGGGAUCUUCGGACCUUGCGCGAUUGAAUGAGCCGAUGUCGGAUUAGCUAGUUGGCGGGGUAAAGGCCCACCAAGGCGACGAUCCGUAGCUGGUCUGAGAGGAUGAUCAGCCACACUGGAACUGAGACACGGUCCAGACUCCUACGGGAGGCAGCAGUGGGGAAUAUUGGACAAUGGGCGCAAGCCUGAUCCAGCCAUACCGCGUGGGUGAAGAAGGCCUUCGGGUUGUAAAGCCCUUUUGUUGGGAAAGAAAAGCAGCAGGUUAAUACCCCGCUGUUCUGACGGUACCCAAAGAAUAAGCACCGGCUAACUUCGUG
This 492-nucleotide ribosomal RNA is filed under the name uncultured bacterium. RNAcentral describes it as "partial 16S ribosomal RNA". It matches the Rfam family "Bacterial small subunit ribosomal RNA", at positions 29 to 507 of the family's 1533-position model. The record is from RNAcentral.